UACAAUGGACGGUACAACGAGUCGCAAACUCGCGAGAGUAAGCUAAUCUCUUAAAGCCGUUCUCAGUUCGGACUGUAGGCUGCAACCCGACUCCAUGAAGCUGGAUUCGCUAGUAAUCGCGCAUCAGCCACGGCGCGGUGAAUACGUUCCCGGGCCUUGUACACACCGCCCGUCAAGCCAUGAAAGCCGGGGGUACCUGAAGUGCGUAACCGCGAGGAGCGCCCUAGGGUAAAACUGGUGAUUGGGGCUAAGUCGUAACAAGGUACC
This 267-nucleotide ribosomal RNA is filed under the name uncultured bacterium. RNAcentral describes it as "partial 16S ribosomal RNA". It matches the Rfam family "Bacterial small subunit ribosomal RNA", at positions 1226 to 1500 of the family's 1533-position model. The record is from RNAcentral.